ACGGAGGAUCCAAGCGUUAUCCGGAAUCAUUGGGUUUAAAGGGUCCGUAGGCGGUUUAGUAAGUCAGUGGUGAAAGCCCAUCGCUCAACGGUGGAACGGCCAUUGAUACUGCUAGACUUGAAUUAUUAGGAAGUAACUAGAAUAUGUAGUGUAGCGGUGAAAUGCUUAGAGAUUACAUGGAAUACCAAUUGCGAAGGCAGGUUACUACUAAUGGAUUGACGCUGAUGGACGAAAGCGUGGGUAGCGAACAG
RNAcentral lists this ribosomal RNA (251 nucleotides) under uncultured prokaryote. Its description in RNAcentral is "partial 16S rRNA". It matches the Rfam family "Bacterial small subunit ribosomal RNA", at positions 525 to 775 of the family's 1533-position model. The record is from RNAcentral.